Molecule: long non-coding RNA, 1214 nt
Filed under: Elaeis guineensis (African oil palm)
Lineage: Eukaryota; Viridiplantae; Streptophyta; Magnoliopsida; Arecales; Arecaceae
Description: long non-coding RNA (EGUI_LNC071106)
Source: RNAcentral
GUUCUGAUUCUUCACAGAAUCUCUCAUUAUCGAUGGGGAUAUAUAUUGACCUAUCAAUAUGGAUGGGGAAGGAUGGCCAUGCUUAACCAUUUGAUUCAUUUAAUUAAAUUAAACUUGAUAUAGGUCAAAUUUAGAUUAAAAAAUUUUUGAUCUAUGUUAUAUCUGAUCCGACCUAUAUUUUGUACGAUCUAACCCGAUUGGCCCCCCUAAUUCGGAGAGCUUCAUCUUGCCGAGGGAAUGCAGGAUGGGAAAAGGUAUCGGGGAAGAGGGAGCCUUGAUGACCAAGACACCAAGCAACCAGUAUCAUGCUCCAAUUGCACGGACAAGAAGGCACGUGGUGUCCUAUGGGCACAUACUCGGUCUUGGCACAAGCGGCAGCACCAUGCUAGCCUUCCAUGAUACAGACCAGCUUUUUUUAUGUCUUUUAGGAGGUUGAGAAGUGUUUCAACUUUUAUUACGUGCUUUUUCUGUACGUGGACUAUGGACUGAUAUGUUAGCGGGUCAUGUGUUGUUGCGGUCAAUUUUUUUAUCAUCUAUCAUUGGUAACGAACAUCUGUAAAAUAGCAUCCACACAAAUUGAAUUGAUAUCCGACGAAAAUCAUCCGAUACUUAAGGCAGAAAGAGAAGACAAACAGUAGUAUUUUGGAUAUUCAGAAUAGCAGAGUCCUGACGAGCAAUGACCUCCUCCGUGCUGUUCACUUAUCCUCUUUUUUAUAGAUGAAGUUAUUGUAAUCGUCGGACAUAGUCCCGUAUUUUAUGACGCUAAAUUAUCGGACCAUAAUCAUGUAGUGGGUCAUUAGUUCUCACUAAUUGCACUGUGAUAUGUGGUGGGUAACCGUUCGUAAUGGUUAUGAUGUGUUGAGCGGAUCAGCCGAUCAUACAUCGGUAGUAGGUGUGGCCGUCGGCUGAUAGUUCUAUUGCACCGACAGUCCAAAUUGUUCGAUAGUUAUCAGUAUCAGCCGAUUACUAGUUGGUAACCGACUAUAAGUCGGUGAAGCUUGUUCAAUUGGUUGAUGAAGAGUCGGUACUAUCUGUUCAGUCGAUGCUCAGUCGGAUUCGUAUGUUAGAUCGGUCGGCUAUUGUCGAGUCAGAGUCGAAAAUUGGUUGAUGAAGAGUCGGUACUAUCUGUUCAGUCGAUGCUCAGUCGGAUUCGUAUGUUAGAUCGAUCGGCUAUUGUCGAGUCAGAGUUGGGAGUUGGCUGGCUUGAAUUGGGA